UUGAACGCUGGCGGCAGGCCUAACACAUGCAAGUCGAACGGUAACAGGAAACAGCUUGCUGUUUCGCUGACGAGUGGCGGACGGGUGAGUAAUGUCUGGGAAACUGCCUGAUGGAGGGGGAUAACUACUGGAAACGGUAGCUAAUACCGCAUAACGUCGCAAGACCAAAGAGGGGGACCUUCGGGCCUCUUGCCAUCGGAUGUGCCCAGAUGGGAUUAGCUAGUAGGUGGGGUAACGGCUCACCUAGGCGACGAUCCCUAGCUGGUCUGAGAGGAUGACCAGCCACACUGGAACUGAGACGCGGUCCAGACUCCUACGGGAGGCAGCAGUGGGGAAUAUUGCACAAUGGGCGCAAGCCUGAUGCAGCCAUGCCGCGUGUAUGAAGAAGGCCUUCGGGUUGUAAAGUACUUUCAGCGGGGAGGAAGGGAGUAAAGUUAAUACCUUUACUCAUUGACGUUACCCGCAGAAGAAGCACCGGCUAACUCCGUG
This 489-nucleotide ribosomal RNA is filed under the name uncultured bacterium. RNAcentral's name for it is "partial 16S ribosomal RNA". It matches the Rfam family "Bacterial small subunit ribosomal RNA", at positions 30 to 507 of the family's 1533-position model. The record is from RNAcentral.